This 441-nucleotide ribosomal RNA is filed under the name uncultured bacterium. RNAcentral's name for it is "partial 16S ribosomal RNA". It matches the Rfam family "Bacterial small subunit ribosomal RNA", at positions 338 to 795 of the family's 1533-position model. The record is from RNAcentral.
CCUACGGGAGGCAGCAGUGGGGAAUAUUGCACAAUGGGGGAAACCCUGAUGCAGCGACGCCGCGUGAGUGAAGACGUAUUUCGGUAUGUAAAGCUCUAUCAGCAGGGAAGAAGCAAGACGGUACCUGACUAAGAAGCCCCGGCUAACUACGUGCCAGAAGCCGCGGUAAUACGGAGGGGGCAAGCGUUAACCGGAUUUACUGGGUGUAAAGGGAGCGUAGACGGUAUGGCAAGUCUGAAGUGAAAGCCUAGGGCUUAACCCUGGGACUGCUUUGGAAACUGGUAGACUCGAGUGCUGGGGAGGUAAGUGGAAUUCGUGGUGUAGCGGUGAAAUGCGUAGAUAUUAGGAAGAACACCAGUGGCGAAGGCGGCUUACUGGACAGUAACUGACGUUGAGGCUCGAAAGCGUGGGUAGCAAACAGGAUUAGAUACCCUGGUAGUC